AGCCUUGUAGCUCAGUUGGCUAAAGCGUUGGCUUUACUAAAACCUUUCCCUUACUGACGUGGGUUCGAAUCCCACCGAGGUCA
This 83-nucleotide transfer RNA is filed under the name Schistocephalus solidus. It matches the Rfam family "tRNA". From Rfam's summary of the family: Transfer RNA (tRNA) molecules are approximately 80 nucleotides in length. Their secondary structure includes four short double-helical elements and three loops (D, anti-codon, and T loops). The record is from Rfam by way of RNAcentral. Lineage: Eukaryota; Metazoa; Platyhelminthes; Cestoda; Diphyllobothriidea; Diphyllobothriidae.